This 515-nucleotide ribosomal RNA is filed under the name uncultured bacterium. RNAcentral describes it as "partial 16S ribosomal RNA". It matches the Rfam family "Bacterial small subunit ribosomal RNA", at positions 28 to 523 of the family's 1533-position model. The record is from RNAcentral.
GACGAACGCUGGCGGCGUGCCUAAUACAUGCAAGUCGAGCGGACUUUCAAGAAGCUUGCUUUUUGAAAGUUAGCGGCGGACGGGUGAGUAACACGUGGGCAACCUGCCUGUAAGACGGGGAUAACUCCGGGGAACCGGGGCUAAUACCGGAUAAUAUCUUUCUUCGCAUGAAGGAAGGUUGAAAGGCGGCGCAAGCUGCCGCUUGCAGAUGGGCCCGCGGCGCAUUAGCUGGUUGGUGAGGUAACGGCUCACCAAGGCGACGGUGCGUAGCCAGCCGGUGCGAGGGAACGGCCACACUGGGACUGAGACUGGGCCCAGCCUCCUACGGGAGGCAGCAGUAGGGAAUCUUCCGAAAUGGACGAAAGUCUGACGGGCCAACGCCGCGUGAGCGAAGAAGGUCUUCGGAUCGUGAAGCUCUGUUGUCAGGGAAGAACAAGUACCGUUCGAAUAGGGCGGUACCUUGACGGUACCUGACCAGAAAGCCACGGCUAACUACGUGCCAGCCGCCGCGGUAA